Molecule: long non-coding RNA, 1690 nt
Organism: Rosa chinensis
Lineage: Eukaryota; Viridiplantae; Streptophyta; Magnoliopsida; Rosales; Rosaceae
Exons: 7
Source: RefSeq, a predicted model, not a curated record
UGGUCAUUUUGUCUGAAACUUUCGGACCCCAAUUGAUACUCUCACUUUGACAGCCUCCUUCUUCGCGUCCCCAACCUGACCCAGCUCCUCUCUCCAACCUGACCCCCCGACCUCAGCUCGUUCUCCGACUCAACCCGCGCCACUAGCGUUUGAUUUUCUGUCCGGCGUAGGCCCGCUUUCUUCUCUCUUCUCUUCAUCGUCCUUUUCUUCUAUUUAUUGGGCUUGCCAUAGGGUAGCUCAGAUCGACUACGCCGGAGUUCAGAUUGACUAAGCCGAAGCUCAGUUCGACUUUCCUCCAUCAUUGCCUCCAAAAUCCCCGAUCCACUUUGCAGAUUCCGACGCCUUUGAUUUUUCUUCGAGCUCCCGUCUUGGGAUGGAAGUCUGGGAAGGUAACCGGCCACGGCUGGAGCAAGUGGGCUUGGGUCUCCGGCCACUGCUGGCUCUGUUCGCGCGCUGUUCCGAGCCUACCGCUGGCGACGGUGUGCUCAGAUCACACCUCUCAAUUUCGUGUAUUCUCAUCUUCCGGCUCAUGUCGAUAUGUUGAUGGGAUACCCAAAAAAAGAGGAAACGCACAAUUACCAGGGUCGCACCCAGUUUCGCUUAGCAGGUUAAACAUCACAGCUCCUUGAGAGUGAUUGCAGUGGUUAUGGGGAAUGGAAAGGGGAAUUUUUCCUUAAUAUUCCCAAAAUUAAAUAUGAGGGGCCCUCUAGUAAGAACCCUCUUGCAUACAAAUGGUAUAAUGCAGAGGAGGAGAUUCUAGGGAAGAAAAUGAACGUUGGUAACUCUUUUAUAUUAUUUGAGUUUUCAAGCUGCUAAUGGUUGUUAACUGAAAUUUUUGCCAACAUUAGGAUUGGUUGAGGUUUAGUGUUGCAUUUUGGCACACAUUCCGUGGAACAGGAGCUGAUCCAUUCGGUGCGCCUACAAAAAAUUGGCAUUGGGUGGAUGGAACUUAUAACUCUGUUGCUAUGGCCAAGAGAAGAAUGAAAGCCAACUUUGAGUUCAUAUAUAAGCUUGGAGUCGAUAGAUGGUGUUUCCAUGACAGGGAUAUUGAUCCGGAUGGUAAAACCUUGGAGGGUCAAUAUCCAGGAGUAGCUUGGAAUGAUCAAUUCUUGGCCUCACUGUCAUUUGAUCUUAGUGCCUCCAUGCCUAGAGAUAAAAGGAAUCUGCUGCACUGAACCAAGAGCUCCAAUUAUUGGAACAGCAGUCUGCUUCUAGUGACCGUUUAUCUGCGCUUGUCAAUGAGACAUUGCAGUUAUAUGACUGAAACUCUUUUCACGAGAUGUUCCAGGAGAUGGUUAAAACAUCAUCACAACUUAGGACGAAAACAGCAAAGCUGAAGAAGCGAAACAGAAUAAGACAGAUAAGAUCUACAACCGAUACAAAGAUUCAUCUGUGAUGAAUGAUAGCAAUGGCUUCUCUGGUGCAAAGUUGGAAGAUCUUCAAGAAUUUUUAGACAAUAUGAAAACAAUGUGAACUAGCCAUAUGAUUUCUUUAGUCUUGCAGCGCACCUAAUUCGCACCUUUUUGUGUUAGAUGAAGUGACUGCAGCAAUUGUGAACAAAACUGCAAUAGAAAUUGCUAGGCUAGACUUGUAGAAGGUUAAUUGGGAUUUUAUUUUGUCUAUUUUGUGAACUGUCAAGGAUAAUAAUUUUGGACAGAAUACUCCAAUAUUCAAAUUACUUUUUGUCAAA